Molecule: ribosomal RNA, 872 nt
Filed under: uncultured bacterium
Lineage: Bacteria
Description: bacterial SSU rRNA
Rfam family: Bacterial small subunit ribosomal RNA
Source: RNAcentral
GGGGAAGUGGCGAAAGGGGCAGUAAGGCGUGGGUAACUUACCGGAGGGACCGGGAUAGCCUCGGGAAACCGAGGGUAAUACCGGGCGACGUACCGGGGACGCAUGUGUCGGGUACCAAAGGUCAGCCGCCCUUUGAGGGGCUCACGUGAUAUUAGCUGGUUGGUGGGGUAACGGCCCACCAAGGCAAAGAUGUCUAGCGGGUGUGAGAGCACGACCCGCGCCACUGGCACUGAGACACUGGCCAGACUCCUACGGGAGGCUGCAGUCGAGGAUCUUCGGCAAUGGGCGCAAGCCUGACCGAGCGACGCCGCGUGCGCGAUGAAGGCCUUCGGGUUGUAAAGCGCUGUCGAGGGGGAGGAAAGCCCGCAAGGGUCUGACCUAUCCCUGGAGGAAGCACGGGCUAAGUUCGUGCCAGCAGCCGCGGUAGGACGAACCGUGCAAACGUUGUUCGGAAUCACUGGGCUUAAAGGGCGCGUAGGCGGGCGAGCGAGUCCGGGGUGAAAUCUUUCGGCCCAACCGGAAAAGGGCCUUGGAUACUGCUCGUCUAGAGGGAGGUAGGGGCAGACGGAACUUCCGGUGGAGCGGUGAAAUGCGUUGAUAUCGGAAGGAACGCCGGUGGCGAAAGCGGUCUGCUGGAUCUCUACUGACGCUGAGGCGCGAAAGCCAGGGGAGCGAACGGGAUUAGAUACCCCGGUAGUCCUGGCCCUAAACGAUGGGUACUAGGUAGUGGACUUACAUGGGUUCCCUGCCGAAGCAAAAGUGACAAGUACCCCGCCUGGGGAGUAUGGUCGCAAGGCUGAAACUCAAAGGAAUUGACGGGGGCUCACACAAGCGGUGGAGCAUGUGGCUUAAUUCGAGGCUACGUGAAGAAC